RNAcentral lists this ribosomal RNA (253 nucleotides) under uncultured bacterium. RNAcentral describes it as "partial 16S ribosomal RNA". It matches the Rfam family "Bacterial small subunit ribosomal RNA", at positions 524 to 776 of the family's 1533-position model. The record is from RNAcentral.
UACAGAGGUGGCAAGCGUUGUUCGGAAUCAUUGGGCGUAAAGGGCGCGUAGGUGGUUCUGUAUGUCUACCGUGAAAGCGUACGGCUCAACCGUAUUUUGUCGGUAGAAACUGCAGGACUUGAGGCUGGGAGGGGCUGGUGGAAUUCCCUGUGUAGCGGUGAAAUGCGUAGAGAUGGGGGAGAACACUCGUGGCGAAGGCGGCCAGCUAGACCAGUUCUGACACUGAGGCGCGACAGCGUGGGGAGCAAACAGG